GUGAAGUCCCCAGAGGAAUCAGUCGAGAAAAUAACACCAUUUCGACCACAUACUUCGCCACAUUCAACAUACAUCGAAAGAUGGCGAGUGCCUGUGACGUCAUAAGUGUCCCAGCUGUCAUGGAAGGGAUGAUGCAGUCAAGACAUGGUCAAGGGAAUUGGGUUCCUCUUCUAUGCUUGAGUUUACUAUGGAGGUUUGCAGGAGAAUACAAGAGGCCUGGGAAGACAACCAAAAAGUCUGUGACGAAACGGAAGACUUUGGAAAGGCUGAUGUGUCACACUACAACAAGACGUGUGAAUUAGUGUUUACGGAAAAUGUCGUGACG
This is a non-coding RNA of Penaeus vannamei (Pacific white shrimp), 325 nucleotides long. The record is from RefSeq and is a predicted model, not a curated record. Lineage: Eukaryota; Metazoa; Arthropoda; Malacostraca; Decapoda; Penaeidae.